GUGGGGAAUAUUGGACAAUGGGCGCAAGCCUGAUCCAGCCAUGCCGCGUGAGUGAUGAAGGCCUUAGGGUUGUAAAGCUCUUUCACCGAUGAAGAUAAUGACGGUAGUCGGAGAAGAAGCCCCGGCUAACUUCGUGCCAGCAGCCGCGGUAAUACGAAGGGGGCUAGCGUUGUUCGGAUUUACUGGGCGUAAAGCGCACGUAGGCGGUUUGUUAAGUCAGGGGUGAAAUCCCGGAGCUCAACUCCGGAACUGCCUUUGAUACUGGCAAGCUAGAGUCCGGAAGAGGUAAGUGGAACUCCUAGUGUAGAGGUGGAAUUCGUAGAUAUUAGGAAGAACACCAGGGGCGAAGGCGGCUUACUGGUCCGGAACUGACGCUGAGGUGCGAAAGCGUGGGGAGCAAACAGGAUUAGAAACCCGAGUAGUCC
This 425-nucleotide ribosomal RNA is filed under the name uncultured bacterium. RNAcentral's name for it is "bacterial SSU rRNA". It matches the Rfam family "Bacterial small subunit ribosomal RNA", at positions 354 to 796 of the family's 1533-position model. The record is from RNAcentral.